Piliocolobus tephrosceles (Ugandan red Colobus) is the source of this 1548-nucleotide long non-coding RNA. The record is from Ensembl. NCBI's taxonomy places the organism in Eukaryota, Metazoa, Chordata, Mammalia, Primates, Cercopithecidae.
AUGGGUGAAAAUUUAAGUGUUGGUACAUGUGGUGAUACAUACAUGGGUGGUACAUAUAUGGGUGGUACAUAUAUGGGUGGUACAUAUAUGGGUGGUACAUAUAUGGGUGGUACAUGUGCAAAUACAGGAACAGGUACAGGUACAGGAACAAGUACAGGAACAAGUACAGGAACAAGUACAGAUACAGAUAUAGGUACAUGGAUGAUAGAUACAGGAAUAUAUCCUGAACAAAAAUUUCAACAAAUAAUUGAUUCGAAUGUAUUACAACUUUUAAUAUAUGCCUCUUUUUUAAUUCAAAAUAAAUUAGAUAAUAACAUUUUUUUAAAAACGUAUCAUACAUCUAUUAGAAUAAAAAAUAAUAGUUGUAUGUAUUGGGGUGUUAAUCCUAAUAGUAAAAUAGUUUUAGAAAUUGUUCGUAAUAAUAAUACAUAUGUAUCAAAAAAAAUACGUAUUAAUCAAGUAUGUAUAAAUAAAAAAAUAAUAUUAAUGAAUAAGGAUAAAAAAAGGUAUAUAUUUUUAUCUAUGAGUAUAACAUUAAAUCCCAAUGUAUAUAAUACCAAAAUAAUUACUUUUACCAAUAGAUACACAAUUGUUAAUAAUACAAAUUGUAUUUUAUACGUUCAGGAAGUGAAAAAGGAGUUUAGCAUUAUAACAAAAGAAAAAAAUUACAACCAUGAUGGUAUGGACAACAACCAUGAUGGUGUACAUAACAACCAUAAUAAUAAAUCAGAGAAUAAACACAAUAAAAAUGUUAAUUUAAAAAAAAAAUCUAAAAAGGAUGAUGCUGUACUUAAACAAAGGGUAAGUAGUGUAGAACAAGUAAUGUUAGAAAGUAGUGAUUAUUGUGGUGCUGAGUGUGAUGAGGGGGGGGAGGAUAUAAAUAAUAAAGUUUGUUUAUCUAUCGAGGGAGGAGGAGAAGGAGGAGAAGGAGAAGAAGGAGGAGAAGGAGAAGAAGGAGGAGAAGGAGAAGGAAGAGGAACAUUCUUAACUAAUAAUUUAAGUCAUUUACCUAAAGAAACAAAACAUAUUAAAAAUUUUAGUAUUAUAAAAAUAAAACCAUUUAGUACAUACCACUAUCAUCCUAUAAAUGCACAUAAAUGCUAUUUGAAAUUCUCAUAUGUUAAUAUAAAUCAAUGCACCAAUGAAGAAUCAUUUACAAAUAGAAUAAAUAGUUAUAAUUAUUUUAAAAAAAAAAGAAAAGAAAUUGAUUAUAUUUAUACUAAUUAUUUAUGGAAAAAAAUGUUAAAACAUAAAAAAAAUUAUUUUAUUUUAAAUGAAAAAAAAAAAGAAAAAAAAAAUAUAUAUAUGGAAAAAUUAGAAUUGUAUAAUCUUUUUUAUACAAGUUCAAUAGAAAUUGAGAAAAUAAGUCAUACCAAGAUAUUACACAAGACGUUAACAAAGAUGGACGUGAUGGGUAGUGACAGUAGUGGUAAUGGCACUAGCGACAGUAGUAGUAGUAGUAGUAGUAGUAGUAGUANNNNNNNNNNAGUAGUAGUAGUAGUAGUAGUAGUAGUAGUACUAGCAAAAGUAGUAGUAACCAUCAUAUAA